CGAGAUUCCCCCAGUAGCGGCGAGCGAACGGGGAGCAGCCCAGAGCCUGAAUCAGUGUGUGUGUUAGUGGAAGCGUCUGGAAAAGCGCGCGAUACAGGGUGACAGCCCCGUACACAAAAAUGCACAUGCUGUGAGCUCGAUGAGUAGGGCGGGACACGUGGUAUCCUGUCUGAAUAUGGGGGGACCAUCCUCCAAGGCUAAAUACUCCUGACUGA
This 215-nucleotide ribosomal RNA is filed under the name Escherichia coli. Its description in RNAcentral is "partial 23S ribosomal RNA". It matches the Rfam family "Bacterial large subunit ribosomal RNA", at positions 230 to 483 of the family's 2925-position model. The record is from RNAcentral. Lineage: Bacteria; Pseudomonadati; Pseudomonadota; Gammaproteobacteria; Enterobacterales; Enterobacteriaceae.